RNAcentral lists this ribosomal RNA (385 nucleotides) under uncultured bacterium. RNAcentral describes it as "bacterial SSU rRNA". It matches the Rfam family "Bacterial small subunit ribosomal RNA", at positions 370 to 772 of the family's 1533-position model. The record is from RNAcentral.
AAUGGGGGAAACCCUGACGCAGCAACGCCGCGUGAGUGAUGAAGGCCUUCGGGUCGUAAAGCUCUGUCUUUUGGGACGAUAAUGACGGUACCAAAGGAGGAAGCCACGGCUAACUACGUGCCAGCAGCCGCGGUAAUACGUAGGUGGCGAGCGUUGUCCGGAAUUACUGGGCGUAAAGGGUGCGUAGGCGGUUUAUUAAGUCAGAUGUGAAAUUCCGGGGCUCAACUUCGGAAUUGCAUUUGAAACUGGUAGGCUAGAGUGCAGGAGAGGAAAGCGGAAUUCCUAGUGUAGCGGUGAAAUGCGUAGAUAUUAGGAAGAACACCAGUGGCGAAGGCGGCUUUCUGGACUGUAACUGACGCUGAGGCACGAAAGCGUGGGGAGCAAA